AGAUAUGUAAGCUAAACUUAAGCUAUUGGAUUCAUACUUCAAUUAUAGAUCAUCCUAAUCUCUUAUCUA
RNAcentral lists this transfer RNA (69 nucleotides) under Bemisia tabaci. Its description in RNAcentral is "tRNA-Met". Lineage: Eukaryota; Metazoa; Arthropoda; Insecta; Hemiptera; Aleyrodidae. The record is from RNAcentral.